Molecule: long non-coding RNA, 1128 nt
Organism: Triticum urartu
Lineage: Eukaryota; Viridiplantae; Streptophyta; Magnoliopsida; Poales; Poaceae
Source: RefSeq, a predicted model, not a curated record
UGUCGACCAUCCAGGGUUCCCCGACGUCCCUACUAGGUCGCUCCCGCACCCCCCUGCUAACCCUAGAUCGAUCUUCCCCCUUCCCCCAUGUCUCAACUCCCUCGGCCUGCCACAUGUUCUCCGCAACCGCUGGCGGGCCAUCGGCGUUGUCACAACCAAGCAAUGUUUUAAGUAAUAGCGUCGGUAGCUCAGGCCAGCUGCUACAAGUCGAAAGCUGCGCUAGGUAAUAGCGUGUUUGGCAUGAUGCGGCCGAUAUAUGGGCUGUCAGACCACAAUAGCGGCCCUUUGUGUAAGGCCGGUUGCGGGCAUAGCGGAAAGCUUAAAAAAAAUUAGACCACCAAUCCUCUUAUCCGAUUAUCCCAUCCCCUUCUCCUGGCGGCGGGCGGCUGGCACUUCCCUGGCGGCGGCGCGGCUAACGCCGGAGGCCGGAUGGAGAGGCAAAUCCAGGCUCACCAUCACCGGAUGCCGCCACUCCCCUAGCCCAUCUUCCCCUGCCGGUCUUUGAGGGAGCAGCCAACACGACGGCCACCUCAUCGCUCUUGCUCGACGCCUUUCCCUGGUCGACGACUGGCCGGUGCGGGACGACACGGCAAGAUGGUGGGCAGUACCUCGCUGGGACGGCGGUGCUCAAGCUCAAUGCCCAGGUCCCCUCGCUGGUCCCUGUUCGACGCCCUACUAGUCGACGUCCCAAUCCGAUCCGGUCCGCACCUCCUCGCUUGACGACUACUUCUUGGUAAUUCAGUCAACUAUCUGCACUUGUAAUUAAGAAGACCAAGAAGUGUACAUGGAUCUGAAUGGAGAAGAGGACGAGGAUGGCGGAUGACUUGUGCAACUUCCAUGAUCAAAACUGGAUCUGUUUAUUUUUGCGUGAUGGUCGUGGUCUGACUUGUAUGGUUGCAUCUUCCAUGAUCAGAACUGGAUCUGUUUUUUUUGCGUGAUGGUCGUGGUCUGACUUUUAUGGUUGGUUGGUAGUUUUUGUUUGCAUGGUUACAUGGUUGAAUAUUGUACAAUGGACUAAUUGUAGUGUAUAUGUGUUGUGUCGUACUGAUAGUUUUUUUUUGCAUGGUUGAAUAUUGUCCGGAUGGACUAGUUACAGUCUAUAUGCUUAUAUAAAUGAUGAUUAUUCAA